Molecule: unclassified non-coding RNA, 589 nt
Filed under: Hevea brasiliensis (rubber tree)
Lineage: Eukaryota; Viridiplantae; Streptophyta; Magnoliopsida; Malpighiales; Euphorbiaceae
Source: RNAcentral
UUGUAGAGAACAUGAGCAGCUUGUGGCAACCACUAUUAGAUAUGAAGUUUCUGAAGACGACAGAUGCAGGAGAGCAGACAGACGUAACGGAAUGGGUGGCAGAGUACAUUCGGGAAAAAGCGCCAGAGCUACUUAGCUUGAUUACUUGUAGUGAAGUGUUCGAUAGUAGCGGGGGAGGCGCUGCAAAAAUGUGUAGGGAGAUGGAUGUGCCAUUCCUAGGGAAGGUACCAUUGGAUCCACAGCUUUGCAAGGCAGCUGAAGAAGGUCGGUCCUGUUUUGGUGACCAAAAAUGUGGGGUAAGUGCCUCAGCUCUGAAGAAGAUUAUAGAGAGGUUGAUACAAAAUCAAGGAUUUUCAACAAUAUCAAUAGAUGAUAAAGCGUAGGACAGAGUUGGAAGAGGGUAAAGGUUAAUAGUAUAUAUUUUAUUUACUUAUUUAUUUAAUGUGGUUGUCCAAAUUACUUAAUUCACAAUAUGUUUCCAUCUAAGUUUUGAACUCAUGUUUUUUUUCUCUUUGGUCCCUCACGAAACAUAGGGUUUGUUAAGAUAUCAUAAUAUACUUUCUCUUUUGUCACUCUUUCACAAAACAUA